This 647-nucleotide long non-coding RNA is filed under the name Homo sapiens (human). RNAcentral's name for it is "HSALNT0111972". The record is from RNAcentral. Lineage: Eukaryota; Metazoa; Chordata; Mammalia; Primates; Hominidae.
CAGCCUUCUGAGUAGCUGGGACUACAGACACCCACCACCAAGCCCAGCUAAUUUUUUGUAUAUUUUAGUAGAGACAGGGUUUCACUGUGUUAGCCAGGAUGGUCUCGAUCUCCUGACCUUGUGAUCCGCCCGCCUCAGCCUCCCAGAGUGCUGGGAUUACAGGCAUGAGUCACAGUGCCUGGCCCAGGUCUCACUUCUUUUUUAAGCUGGAGCAGAUUGAGUAUGGCCGGAGUGUAAUGGCACUGCUCACUGCAACCUUUGCUCACUGCAACCUCCACCUCCUCAGUUCAAGCAAUUCUCCUGCCUCAGCUUCCUGAGUAGCUGAGAUUACAGGUGCCUUUCACCAUGCCUGGCUAAUCUUUUGUAAGGAUCUGGGGGAAGCCAGUUGUGCUUCUUAAGGCCUCCCUGUUGAGAGACUCAUGCCAGUGAACUUGGAAGCAGAUCUCCUAAAGCCUCUCAACAGCUACAGAAAUUAACUUGAAAGGAGAUCCUCUAACCAGCUGAGGCUUGAGAUGACUGCAGCCCUGGCCAGGACCUCAGUCGCAGGCUGUGAGAGUCCUGGAGCCAAAAUCACCCAGAGAAGCUACUCCUGGAUUCCCAACACAGACCAUUGAAAUAAUAAAUGUUUAUUGCUUUAACCUCUAAGG